GUCAGCGCUUGAGGCUUGAAGAGGGAGACAAGCUAAAAGAGGUAUUUGAAGAAAGAAGAGCCCUGCUUGGCAAAUGGUUUGACAAAUGGACAGACUCUCAAAGAAGAAGAAUCCUCACAGGCCUGUUGGAGCGCUGCUCGCUGUCCCAGCAAAAGUUCUGCUGUCGAAAGCUUCAAGAGAAAAUUCCAGCAGAAGCCCUGGACUUUACAACCAAGCUUCCAAGGGUGUUAUCUUUAUACAUCUUUUCUUUCCUGGACCCUCGGAGCCUUUGUCGUUGUGCACAGGUGUGCUGGCAUUGGAAGAACCUUGCUGAGCUGGACCAGCUCUGGAUGCUGAAAUGUUUACGGUUUAACUGGUACAUCAAUUUCUCUCCAACUCCCUUUGAGCAGGGGAUCUGGAAGAAGCACUAUAUUCAAAUGGUGAAAGAACUUCAUAUUACCAAGCCUAAGAAAGAAGAAUAACUCAGGGGAGAAAGCACUUCCACCCUGGCGAUCUUCUGAUAAGCACCCAACAGAUAUCAUUCGUUUUAAUUACCUAGACAACCGUGACCCCAU
RNAcentral lists this long non-coding RNA (554 nucleotides) under Homo sapiens (human). RNAcentral's name for it is "non-protein coding lnc-ZNF395-6:1". Lineage: Eukaryota; Metazoa; Chordata; Mammalia; Primates; Hominidae. The record is from RNAcentral.